UACGGAGGGGGCUAGCGUUGUUCGGAAUUACUGGGCGUAAAGCGCGCGUAGGCGGACCUGCAAGUCGGGGGUGAAAGCCCGAGGCUCAACCUCGGAACUGCCUUCGAUACUGCGGGUCUCGAGUCCGGGAGAGGUGAGUGGAAUUCCUAGUGUAGAGGUGAAAUUCGUAGAUAUUAGGAAGAACACCGGUGGCGAAGGCGGCAUCCUGGACCGGUAUUGACGCUGAGGCGCGAAAGCGUGGGGAGCGAACAGG
This 253-nucleotide ribosomal RNA is filed under the name uncultured bacterium. Its description in RNAcentral is "partial 16S ribosomal RNA". It matches the Rfam family "Bacterial small subunit ribosomal RNA", at positions 524 to 776 of the family's 1533-position model. The record is from RNAcentral.